Long non-coding RNA from Platichthys flesus (European flounder), 477 nucleotides. RefSeq lists it as uncharacterized. Lineage: Eukaryota; Metazoa; Chordata; Actinopteri; Pleuronectiformes; Pleuronectidae. The transcript is spliced from 2 exons. The record is from RefSeq and is a predicted model, not a curated record.
GGGAUUCCAGGUCAUGAGAUUGAUUCGUGAGAUCUUAAGAGAGUCAAGUGAAUUAUAUUUCUGCACUGAACACUGGUUUAGAAAACAGAACAGAGCAGAGCAGUGUGAAGUGAACUGAAAACAACAGUUGACCUGCUGUUGGAGCCUCGGUUCCUGCGUCUGUGAUCAUCUGAGCAGCACCUGAGGAGGGUGAAGAUGAUUGGAUCACAUGUCUGUAAUGGAGAGCACAAAAAGCCUGAGCACAUGUUGGUGUGAAGUUUGAGAGGCUGACUGUGUGCAGAAUUCCCCCUCCCCAAAAGCAUGAUGGCCGUUCCAGUCUUCAACCAAACUUUUAAAACUGCUGGUGGCGUGGAGCCUUGUUGGUGGGAUCUACAGUCCUGGGGUCAUUGCUGUGUCCUGUGCACAGCCAUCAUAGACUAGACACUAUUUUUGUCAUGUGAUAUAAAAUCAAAUGAUUAUAAAGGUGUUCCCACUGAA